AUUGAACGCUGGCGGCAGGCUUAACACAUGCAAGUCGAACGGUAACAUAAAGGAGCUUGCUUCUUUGAUGACGAGUGGCGGACGGGUGAGUAAUGCUUGGGAAUCUAGCUUAUGGAGGGGGAUAACUACGGGAAACUGUAGCUAAUACCGCGUAGAAUCGGGAGAUGAAAGUGUGGGACCUUCGGGCCACAUGCCAUAGGAUGAGCCCAAGUGGGAUUAGGUAGUUGGUGAGGUAAAGGCUCACCAAGCCGACGAUCUCUAGCUGGUCUGAGAGGAUGACCAGCCACACUGGGACUGAGACACGGCCCAGACUCCUACGGGAGGCAGCAGUGGGGAAUAUUGCGCAAUGGGGGCAACCCUGACGCAGCCAUGCCGCGUGAAUGAAGAAGGCCUUCGGGUUGUAAAGUUCUUUCGGUAGCGAGGAAGGCAUUUAGUUUAAUAGACUAGGUGAUUGGCGUUAACUACAGAAGAAGCACCGGCUAACUCCGUG
This 490-nucleotide ribosomal RNA is filed under the name uncultured bacterium. Its description in RNAcentral is "partial 16S ribosomal RNA". It matches the Rfam family "Bacterial small subunit ribosomal RNA", at positions 30 to 507 of the family's 1533-position model. The record is from RNAcentral.